GUGGCUCGCAGAGGGAUCCCGAUCACGGACACUAAAUGUCUCUUCUGUGCGCGGGCGGCUGAGGACGGAGCACACCUGUUCAUCAAGUGCAAAUUGGUGAAGUGCGUGUGGCGGGAGCUAUCACUCGAGGGAGAACGUGCGCAGCUGGAGAGAAUAGGUUCCGUGCAUGCAAUGCUCGAAUUCUUGUGGGGGUUGGAUGAGAAAAAGUGCCUCCAUAUACUCACCUUCUGGUGGCUGUGGUGGGCCAAUCGUAACAAGCUGCGUAAGGGCCAGAUGCCAAUCACAGCGGAGACGCUUGCGAGGCAAACGAGGGCCAAUGUACUCGAGUACUGGGAAAUCUUCCGACAGCCUGCGGUGAAGUCGCAGCCGGACAAGUGGCGGCCCCCAGUGAAUGCAGAGUACAAGAUCAACGUCGACAGAUCGUUUGUGCCGGGAGAACUCCAUGCUGGCUGGGGCGCGGUAGUGAGAACGAAGGAUGGUCGGCUGGUGUGCGCCAGGGCUGGCAGGCAGGAUCACGUCACGGAUGCCUUCGCCGCGGAGAUUUAUGCCAUGUCACAUGCUGUCACCACGGCAGCGGAUCUCGGCAUCGUUCGGCUCGAACUGGAGACGGACUCCCAACUCCUAGCUGAGGCCUUGGACUUGCAAAGAGUGGAUUCCUCUGCCUACGCAUCUGUCAUUGAGGACACGAAGUACCAGCUCAAGCUUUGGUUUACCAAGGUUGUAAUCACCGUGUGUAGACGCACGGCGAAUUCUGUAGCUCACGAUCUUGCCACAAUUGGCCGUAGUUGUGAUCCCAACCAGUACAUGGAAUGGGACUCGAAUGUACCUGCCCAUGUGGGC
Molecule: ribosomal RNA, 840 nt
Filed under: Triticum aestivum (bread wheat)
Lineage: Eukaryota; Viridiplantae; Streptophyta; Magnoliopsida; Poales; Poaceae
Description: partial small subunit ribosomal RNA
Source: RNAcentral